GCAGCUAUAAUGCAGUCGAGCGCGGGAAGCGAACGGAACUCUUCGGAGGGAAGUUCGUGGAACGAGCGGCGGACGGGUGAGUAACACGUAGGCAACCUGCCUGUAAGACUGGGAUAACUCGCGGAAACGCGAGCUAAUACCGGAUAACACUUUCUAUCACCUGAUGGAAAGUUGAAAGGCGGCUUUUGCUGUCACUUACAGAUGGGCCUGCGGCGCAUUAGCUAGUUGGUGAGGUAACGGCUCACCAAGGCGACGAUGCGUAGCCGACCUGAGAGGGUGAUCGGCCACACUGGGACUGAGACACGGCCCAGACUCCUACGGGAGGCAGCAGUAGGGAAUCUUCCGCAAUGGACGAAAGUCUGACGGAGCAACGCCGCGUGAGUGAUGAAGGUUUUCGGAUCGUAAAACUCUGUUGUCAGGGAAGAACAAGUACGAUAGUAACUGAUCGUACCUUGACGGUACCUGACCAGAAAGCCACGGCUAACUACGUGCCAGCAGCCGCGGUAAUACGUAGGUGGCAAGCGUUGUCCGGAAUUAUUGGGCGUAAAGCGCUCGCAGGCGGUUCUUUAAGUCUGAUGUGAAAUCUUGCGGCUCAACCGCAAACGUGCAUUGGAAACUGGAGGACUUGAGUGCAGAAGAGGAGAGUGGAAUUCCACGUGUAGCGGUGAAAUGCGUAGAGAUGUGGAGGAACACCAGUGGCGAAGGCGACUCUCUGGUCUGUAACUGACGCUGAGGAGCGAAAGCGUGGGGAGCGAACAGGAUUAGAUACCCUGGUAGUCCACGCCGUAAACGAUGAGUGCUAGGUGUUAGGGGGUUUCCGCCCCUUAGUGCUGAAGUUAACGCAUUAAGCACUCCGCCUGGGGAGUACGGCCGCAAGGCUGAAACUCAAAAGAAUUGACGGGGACCCGCACAAGCGGUGGAGCAUGUGGUUUAAUUCGAAGCAACGCGAAGAACCUUACCAGGUCUUGACAUCCUUUGACCGCUCUAGAGAUAGAGUUUUCCCUUCGGGGACAAGUGACAGGUGGUGCAUGGUUGUCGUCAGCUCGUGUUCGUGAGA
Molecule: ribosomal RNA, 1057 nt
Filed under: Oceanobacillus sp.
Lineage: Bacteria; Bacillati; Bacillota; Bacilli; Caryophanales; Bacillaceae
Description: bacterial SSU rRNA
Rfam family: Bacterial small subunit ribosomal RNA
Source: RNAcentral